AGCAAAAGCAACUAAAACUGUAAAUUGUGAUGGCGGACAGUCAACUUUCUUUUCUAAUUUAACUUGCAAAAAAUGUGUGAUUUUGCAUUGUUAUAAAUAAAUUUGGGUGAAAAUAUCUAGUAGAAUGAAAGUGAAAUCGUUUUCAAUUCAAAAACCUGCAUACAAAAAAGUUAUCGUGUAGCUCUUCGAGAGAAAUAUGUUCAGGCGUACUAACAAUGAAUAGUUAACGUGGGAGUUACUGGGAGUGUAAAGACGACAAGGGCGUUGGCGAGGUCAAUGUCUACUACUGCAACGGUGUCUCCAGCCUGACUCAUGCUACUACAUACAAAAUGUAUCUAUUUAUGUAUGUACAUUCGUACAUACUAUGUAUGUAAUAAAUCGGAAGUGGCCUACAAUUGGAUACUAAAAUAUAUUCCGUUUCCGAACAAGCAGAGAUGGACAUGAAAUUUCGUGCGUCUAAUUCAAGGUUAUGUAGGAAAACUUAAAGUCCAAGACGAAAUUUCACAGCGGGCCGGAAAAUACUAUAUCGUUUUAGAGUAAAAAAUCUAGAGCAGAAUUUUUCACAGUUGAAUCCCACGACAUACUUACUGUGUUUUGUCCGGGACGUUCCAUUUUUCUGUCGCAAAGUAAAAGAGCCGUUAUUGUCGAAUUAAAGCAGACAGUCGGUUGAGAUAAAAUAGCUACCUGUUAGAAUUAAGUAUGCGCAAGCUAAUACAUAAUUCAAGGCAAUUACUG
Long non-coding RNA from Bactrocera oleae (olive fruit fly), 735 nucleotides. RefSeq lists it as uncharacterized. The record is from RefSeq and is a predicted model, not a curated record. NCBI's taxonomy places the organism in Eukaryota, Metazoa, Arthropoda, Insecta, Diptera, Tephritidae.